RNAcentral lists this ribosomal RNA (449 nucleotides) under uncultured bacterium. RNAcentral's name for it is "partial 16S ribosomal RNA". It matches the Rfam family "Bacterial small subunit ribosomal RNA", at positions 29 to 523 of the family's 1533-position model. The record is from RNAcentral.
AACGAACGCUGGCGGCAUGCCUAACACAUGCAAGUCGAACGAGAUCUUCGGGUCUAGUGGCGCACGGGUGCGUAACGCGUGGGAAUCUGCCCUUUGGUUCGGAAUAACAGUUGGAAACGACUGCUAAUCCCGGAUGAUGACGAAAGUCCAAAGAUUUAUCGCCAGAGGAUGAGCCCGCGUAGGAUUAGCUAGUUGGUGUGGUAAAGGCGCACCAAGGCGACGAUCCUUAGCUGGUCUGAGAGGAUGAUCAGCCACACUGGGACUGAGACACGGCCCAGACUCCUACGGGAGGCAGCAGUGGGGAAUAUUGGACAAUGGGCGAAAGCCUGAUCCAGCAAUGCCGCGUGAGUGAUGAAGGCCUUAGGGUUGUAAAGCUCUUUUACCCGGGAUGAUAAUGACGGUACCGGGAGAAUAAGCUCCGGCUAACUCCGUGCCAGCCGCCGCAGUAA